CUGAACAUGAGAACAUACCGAUAGAAUAUCGUAAUGCGAAUUAACUUUGAAAUAUUGGAUGGAGAAUCUAUGAAUGAGAAUUGAAUUGGUGCCUGAGGACAGCUAGUGUAGCGUACCUUUUGCAUAAGGG
This 130-nucleotide ribosomal RNA is filed under the name Clathrina clathrus. RNAcentral's name for it is "large subunit ribosomal RNA". The record is from RNAcentral. Lineage: Eukaryota; Metazoa; Porifera; Calcarea; Clathrinida; Clathrinidae.